Long non-coding RNA from Pan paniscus (pygmy chimpanzee), 1379 nucleotides. The record is from Ensembl. NCBI's taxonomy places the organism in Eukaryota, Metazoa, Chordata, Mammalia, Primates, Hominidae.
ACACUCCAUUAAAUUCCAUGCAAUUCCACUUGGGUAAAUUCCAUUCCAUUCCAUUCGAGUCCAUUCCAUUCCAUUCCAUUCAAGUCUAUUCCAUUCCAUUCCAUUCCAAUCCAUUUCAUUCGAGUCCGUUCCCUUCCAUUGCAUUCCAUUCCAUACCAUUCCAUUGCAUUCCAUUCCAUUUGGGUCCCUUCAAUUCUAUUCCAUUGGAGUCCAUUCCAUUCCAUUCCAUUCAAUUCUUGUCCAAUCCAUUCCAUUCGAGUCCAUUCCAUUCCAUUCCAUUCGAGUCAAUUCCAUUGCAUUCCAUUUCUAUCGAGUCAAUCCAUUCCAUUCUACUCCAUUCGAGUCCAUUCCAUUCCAUUCCACUCGAGUCCAUUCCAUUCCAUUCCAUUCCAUUCCAUUCCAUUCCAUUCUUGUCCACUCCAUUCCAUUCGAGUCCAUUCCAUGCCAUUCCAUUCGAGUUCAUUCCUUUGCAUUCCAUUCCAUUUGAGUAUAUUCGAAUCCCUUCCAUUCGAGUCCAUUCAAUUCCACUCCGUUCGAGUCCAUUCCAUUCCAUUCGAGUCCAUUCCAUUCAAUUCCAUUCCAUUCGAGUCCAUUCCACUCCAUUCCAUUCGAGACCAUUCCAUAACAUUCCUUAAUUUGGUACCAUUCCAUUCAAUUCCAUUCCAUUCCUUUCAAAUCCAUUCCAUUGCAAUGUAUUCCAUUACAUUUGAGACCAUUCAAUUCCAUUCCAUUCCAUGCGAGUCCAUUCCAUUUCAUUCCAUUCCAGUCCAUUCCAUUGCAUUCCAUUCCAUUCGAGUCCAUUCCAUUCUACUACAUUUGAGUCCAUUCUUUGCAUUUCAUUACAUUCCAUUUGAUUAGAGUCCAGUCCAUUAAAUUCCAUUCCACUGCUUUCGAGUCCAUUCCAUUCCAUUCGAGUCCAUUCCAUUCCAAUCCAUUCCAUUAGAGUUUAUUCCAUCCCAUCCCAUUCGAGUCCAUUCAGAUCCAUUCCAUUCCAUUUGAGUCCAUUCCAUUCCAAUCCAUUUGAGUGCAUUCCAUUGCAUUCCAUUCCAUUUGAAUCCAUUCCAUUCUAUUACACUCAAGUCCAUUCCUUUAUGUUCCAUUCCAUUCGUGUCCAGUCCAUUCCAUUCGAGUCAAUUCCUUUCCAUUCCUUUCCAUUUGAGUACAUUCAAUUCGAUUCCUUUCCACUUAAGUUCAUUCCAUUCCAUUCUAUUCCUUUCCAUUCCAUUCCAUUGCAUUUGAGUCCAUUCCAUUCCAUUCUAUUCCAUUCGAGUCCAUUCCACUUCAUUCCAUUCCAUUCCAUUCCAUUCGAGUCCAUUCCAUUCCAAUCCAUUCCUUUCGGUUCCAUUCCUUUCAANNNNNNNNNNNNNNNNNNNNUUCCA